AGGCACAGGCCAUACUUCUGCUGGAGCCAAGUGGUGCAGAGCCUGGGCCACUGCUCCAAGUAGCUGGGCCUCCCCACAGCUAACUAUCCAGAAUAAGUGGUAGAUAACCUUCCAACUGGUGUAUCCACAUCAUUUAUCAUGGUUGGGCCAGUUUGGAAGUGGAAAUGUCCAUAAGAUGGUGGUGAACAUAGGGUGGAAUCCAUACUGCAAAAAUACCCAAAAAAUCCACAAAAACUCCUACCAUGCAUGCCUUUAAGACUUCUGUGGGAAAAUCCUCAAUGUGACUAUCGUUGACUACCUCAUAAAGGAAAUUACUAAUCAGAAAAAAACUUCUCGGAUUCUUUAGAGUCACUUGUUUCAGCAAUUCACGGUGAUAUUGAGGAAGCUAAGAAAUGAUGUGAUUUACCAGAACAUUUGAAACUCAAAGAAGACAAUUUCUUCCAGGUUCCUAAAAGCAAAAUGAUGAAUGGCCACUGA
RNAcentral lists this long non-coding RNA (477 nucleotides) under Homo sapiens (human). RNAcentral describes it as "non-protein coding lnc-GCSAM-1:1". The record is from RNAcentral. Lineage: Eukaryota; Metazoa; Chordata; Mammalia; Primates; Hominidae.